This 80-nucleotide non-coding RNA is filed under the name unclassified sequences. The record is from Rfam.
GGUUAUUAAGGUGGGAAAGGUUCCCCACGCGCUCACGAUGAGUUAUCAGAGAUCCUGGAUACGCCGCCCAGGUAAUAACC